AUUGAACGCUGGCGGCAGGCCUAAUACAUGCAAGUCGAGCGGAGCGGCGGACGGGUGAGUAAUGCCUAGGUAUCUGCCUGGUAGUGGGGGAUAACGUUCGGAAACGGGCGCUAAUACCGCAACCUAUCAGAUGAGCCUAGGCCGUAUUAGCUAGAUGGUGGGGCAAAGGCCUACCAAGGCGACGAUCCGUAGCCGGUCUGUGUGGAUGAUCAGUCACACUGGAACUGAGACACGGUCCAGACUCCUACGGGAGGCAGCAGUAGGGAAUAUUGAACAAUGGGCGCAAGCCUGAUCCAGCCAUGCCGCGUGUGUGAAGAAGGUCUUCGGAUUGUAAAGCGCUUUAAGUUGGGAGGCGUUACCAGCAGAAUAAGCACCGGCUAACUUCGUGCCAGCAGCCGCGGUAAUAC
RNAcentral lists this ribosomal RNA (407 nucleotides) under uncultured bacterium. Its description in RNAcentral is "partial 16S ribosomal RNA". It matches the Rfam family "Bacterial small subunit ribosomal RNA", at positions 30 to 526 of the family's 1533-position model. The record is from RNAcentral.